This 231-nucleotide ribosomal RNA is filed under the name uncultured bacterium. Its description in RNAcentral is "partial 16S ribosomal RNA". It matches the Rfam family "Bacterial small subunit ribosomal RNA", at positions 99 to 334 of the family's 1533-position model. The record is from RNAcentral.
CGGACGGGGGAGUAAUGUCUGGGAAACUGCCCGAUGGAGGGGGGUAACUACUGGAAACGGUAGCUAAUACCGCAUAACGUCGCAAGACCAAGAGGGGGACCUUCGGGCCUCUUGCCAUCGGAUGUGCCCAGAUGGGAUUAGCUAGUAGGUGGGGUAACGGCUCACCUAGGCGACGAUCCCUAGCUGGUCUGAGAGGAUGACCAGCCACACUGGAACUGAGACACGGUCCAG